RNAcentral lists this ribosomal RNA (496 nucleotides) under uncultured bacterium. RNAcentral describes it as "partial 16S ribosomal RNA". It matches the Rfam family "Bacterial small subunit ribosomal RNA", at positions 28 to 506 of the family's 1533-position model. The record is from RNAcentral.
GAUGAACGCUGGCGGCGUGCCUAAUACAUGCAAGUCGAGCGAACGGACGAGAAGCUUGCUUCUCUGAUGUUAGCGGCGGACGGGUGAGUAACACGUGGAUAACCUACCUAUAAGACUGGGAUAACUUCGGGAAACCGGAGCUAAUACCGGAUAAUAUUUUGAACCGCAUGGUUCAAAAGUGAAAGACGGUCUUGCUGUCACUUAUAGAUGGAUCCGCGCUGCAUUAGCUAGUUGGUAAGGUAACGGCUUACCAAGGCAACGAUGCAUAGCCGACCUGAGAGGGGGAUCGGCCAAACUGGAACUGAGACACGGUCCAGAAGCCUACGGGAGGCAGCAGUAGGGAAUCUUCCGCAAUGGGCGAAAGCCUGACGGAGCAACGCCGCGUGAGUGAUGAAGGUCUUCGGAUCGUAAAACUCUGUUAUUAGGGAAGAACAGAUGUGUAAGUAACUGUGCACAUCUUGACGGUACCUAAUCAGAAAGCCACGGCUAACUACGU